CCGAAACACAAACAGUCCCCAGAGGGGACCGAAACUCCCGGCUGGAGAAAACACGCUUGUCGGGUUUCUGUCCCGCCUCUGAUGCAGGACAGAGUAGGGUGCAGUGGCCCGGGCCCCCACGGGCUUCUGGGCAUGCGUCCCGCCAGACGUGGCCCAGUGGGCGGAUCCGGUCGUUGGUCCGGAGCGGGAGGUCGCAUCCAGGGGCCAGGACCCCAGCGCCGCGGAGGAAGCCUCCCUUUCAUCUCACCGCGGGCUGUCAUGUGACCUGGGAGGGCAAUCUGGAGGCAUGCAUUAAAAUAGACACGUUUCUGGGGACCUGGGAAUUUCACCUUCUCUCCAGCUGUCAGAGCCUUGACAGGAAACAGAAUUCCCUCAAGACGGGCAAACGGAAGUCAAGCUUUAAUUCCUCAGAGGCAUGGACAGGGUCAAGGGACCCAAGGAGAGACCUGGAGUUACAAAUCAGAAAAUCCAACUCAAAUUGGAUUGACCAAUGAAAGGAACACCAACUGCAGGUCUGGCUGCAUUCAGGGGCUCCAACAAUGUCAUCUUUCUGUCUUGUGGCUCUUUCCCUUGUGUGGUGUUCUCAGGUGUGGACAAAGGCCAGAGGCAUGAAACCGGCUUGGACCACUUGUCCAUCCCUGGUAGGAAUGGAGGAGGGAAUAGAGGACUGACUCUACCUGGAUCCCACCUUCCCCUGGAGCUGGGGGGAAGCACAGCGUUCCUGGAACUCAUGAACUCAGAGUGGGGGAAGGAUGUCUCCCCAGAAGAAAAUCAAUGUGCGUGAACAAGAGAUGGGGGGUGGGUGCUGCACAGGCAAAACCCCUGAUGGCACCACAAUAAAUGCAGCCUCAUGUUUGCACAUAUUUAA
Long non-coding RNA from Choloepus didactylus (southern two-toed sloth), 868 nucleotides. RefSeq lists it as uncharacterized. Lineage: Eukaryota; Metazoa; Chordata; Mammalia; Pilosa; Megalonychidae. The transcript has 2 exons. The record is from RefSeq and is a predicted model, not a curated record.